UAAACAUGAGUUGUACUCUGUAGAGAGCCU
This 30-nucleotide non-coding RNA is filed under the name Mus musculus (house mouse). The record is from RNAcentral. Lineage: Eukaryota; Metazoa; Chordata; Mammalia; Rodentia; Muridae.